This 95-nucleotide non-coding RNA is filed under the name Clostridium sulfidigenes. Its description in RNAcentral is "Bacterial small subunit ribosomal RNA". It matches the Rfam family "Bacterial small subunit ribosomal RNA", at positions 1439 to 1533 of the family's 1533-position model. Lineage: Bacteria; Bacillati; Bacillota; Clostridia; Eubacteriales; Clostridiaceae. The record is from Rfam by way of RNAcentral.
CCGUAAGGAGCCAGCGGCCGAAGGUGGGAUUAGUGAUUGGGGUGAAGUCGUAACAAGGUAGCCGUAGGAGAACCUGCGGCUGGAUCACCUCCUUU